GCGGUGGAGCAUGUGGUUUAAUUCGAAGCAACGCGAAGAACCUUACCAGGCCUUGACAUGCAGAGAACUUUCCAGAGAUGGAUUGGUGCCUUCGGGAACUCUGACACAGGUGCUGCAUGGCUGUCGUCAGCUCGUGUCGUGAGAUGUUGGGUUAAGUCCCGUAACGAGCGCAACCUUGUCCUUAGUUACCAGCACGUUAUGGUGGGCACUCUAAGGAGACUGCCAGUGAUAAACUGGAGGAAGGUGGGGAUGACGUCAAAUCAUCAUGCCCCUUAUGACCUGGGCUACAAACGUGAUACAAUGGCUGGAACAAAGGGAUGCGAAGCAGUGAUGUGGAGCGAAACCCAUAAAAACAGUCUCAGUUCGGAUUGAAGUCUGCAACUCGACUUCAUGAAGUCGGAAUCGCUAGUAAUCGUGAAUCAGAAUGUCACGGUGAAUACGUUCCCGGGCCUU
This 453-nucleotide ribosomal RNA is filed under the name uncultured Pseudomonas sp. Its description in RNAcentral is "bacterial SSU rRNA". It matches the Rfam family "Bacterial small subunit ribosomal RNA", at positions 929 to 1382 of the family's 1533-position model. The record is from RNAcentral. Lineage: Bacteria; Pseudomonadati; Pseudomonadota; Gammaproteobacteria; Pseudomonadales; Pseudomonadaceae.